CGUCUUCCGAAUCCUUCGAUCUCCCCCAUCGAACUCUGGUUCGGCCCCGUCUCUCGAAAUCCUUGGUCACGUCGAAGGAACCCUAGAAAACCUACCUCGAUUCGUCGAGAUCUCCGCCGAUUUCGAUCGAUUCCGGUCCCUCCCCUCGGUUAGAGCUUCGAUCUUUGCGUUACUACUACUAUUAUUAUUUUAGAUCGGAGAUGCCCUCGGUCGAUUCUUGAUCGCCGCCACCGCCGCCGCCUCCGCCUAGGGGCGAAGGAGGUUUUUCUUCUUUGUAUGGAAACACGCAGCCGGAAGCGGGCGGAGGCCUCCUCGUCGGCGCCCUCUUCUCAGACCCCUCCCGCUGCUCCCCGACCCGCCAAGCGCCCCCGCAUCGCUCUCUCCUCCCAGGCUCCCCCGGCCCUCUCGACGCGCUCCCGCCGGUCCCAGAACCCCCCGCCGUCUCCGCCAUCUUCCUCGUCCUCCGCCGUUGCCAACGCAGUCAUGGACUCUUCCGGCGGAGACUUUAUCGGCCGCCGACGCCGCACUUCUGGAAAGAGUCGUCAGCCCUCAGGGGAUCGCGACCGGGAUGCCUCUGACAAAGGAAAGGAGGCGGGGGCAUCCAGGGCGAGAGAGAGGGACAGGGACGCUGAAAGGAUCUUAGGGUUGAGCUUUGACGGGGGAGGAGCAGAUGAUGAUAACGACGGCGAUGGCGGUCUUGGCAUCCUCCAUCAGAAUCUGACAUCCGCUAGCAGCGCCCUUCAGGGGCUUCUCAGAAAACUGGGCGCUGGGUUUGACGAUCUCCUACCGUCGUCAGCUUUGACGGCUUCUUCUUCCUUGCAGCAGAGCGGGCGGUUGAAAAAGAUCCUGUCAGGUCUGAGGGCUGAUGGAGAGGAGGGAAAACAGUUCGAGGCGCUGAACCAGCUUUGUGAGAUGUUGUCCAUUGGGACUGAGGAUUCUCUUCUGUCGAUGUCGGUUGACUCAUUCGUGCCUGUGCUCGUGGGGCUUCUCAACCAUGAGAGCAAUCCCGACAUCAUGCUACUCGCUGCCAGGGCUCUCACCUACUUAUGUGAUGUUCUACCUUCAUCUUGUUCGGCUGUGGUUCGUUAUGGUGCUAUUCCUUGUUUCUGUGCGCGACUUCUUACGAUAGAGUACAUGGACCUAGCAGAACAGUCCCUACAAGCUCUCAAGAAGAUAUCACAAGAGCAUCCAACGGCUUGCUUACGUGCUGGUGCACUUAUGGCUGUGCUAUCUUAUCUUGAUUUCUUUUCCACAGGAGUUCAGAGAGUUGCGUUAUCCACUGCAGCAAAUAUGUGUAAGAAACUCCCAUCUGAUGCAGCUGAUUUUGUAAUGGAAGCAGUUCCAUUGUUGAGUAACCUUCUCAACUAUCAUGAUUCAAAGGUUGUAGAGCAUGCUUCUGUCUGCUUGACGCGAAUUGCAGAAGCAUUUGCAUUAUCUCCUGAUAAAAUAGAUGAAUUGUGUAAUCAUGGAUUGGUUGCACAAGCUGCGGGCCUUAUAUCUCUUGGUAAUUCAGGAGGACAAGCCUCCCUUAGCACGUCCACAUACACGGGUAUACUCCGUCUUCUCUCUACAUGUGCUAGUGGAUCUCCUCUAGCUGCGAAAACCCUUCUUCUUUCAGGAAUCAGUGCCACACUUAGAGACAUUCUUCUGUGUUCUGGGCUUGUAUCUGGUUCUUCUGUUUCACCUUCCUUAACAAGACCACCUGAGCAGGUUUAUGUGAUUGUGAACCUUGUGGAUGAGCUUCUUCCUUCCGUGCCUCAAGGAACUAUUUCUUUGCCAUUGCCUUCUAAUGUUCUUGUGAAAGGAUCAGCUGCCAAAAACUCUCUUCCUAGUUCUUCUGGUCAGCAUGCCGAACCUAAAGGAACAACAAGUGACGUAUCGGCUCAUGGGAAAUUAUUGCAGGACCAACCUGAACUUCUGCAGCAGUUUGGAAUGGACCUACUUCCGGUUUUAAUACAGGUAUAUUCUUCCAGUAUAAAUGGUCCUGUCCGUCAUAAAUGUUUGUCUACAAUUGGGAAGUUGAUGUUCUUCAGCUCAGCGGAUAUGAUCCAAUCCUUGCUUAGUGUAGCAAACAUAUCCAGCUUUUUAGCUGGUAUUUUAGCAUGGAAAGAUCCACAACUUUUGAUCCCCGCUCUUCAGAUAGCUGAGAUUCUCAUGGAGAAGCUCCCUGGAACAUUUUCCAAGAUGUUUGUGAGAGAAGGGGUUGUUCAUGCUGUGGAUAUACUAAUAUCCUCUGAUCCUUCUCUAGCGCCCAUCUGUGAAAAGGAUGAUGAUGCUUUACCUGGAAUAACUUGGCGUUCUCGGCGUAGUCGACGGUGUAGUGGUGGCUUGAACACAGAAAAUAGCUCAGUUGAUGACUCAAAAGGAUCUUCAUCAGAAAUUUCUGUCUCACCUCUGCCUUCAGUUGAGGUUCCAAAUGCCAAUUCUAGUCUUCGUGCUGCCGUCAGUGCUCAUGCCAAGGCUUUUAAAGACAAGUAUUUUCCAGCAGGUUCUAGUGCAGUUGAAGCAGGACUCACAGAAGAUCUUCUUUGUUUGAAAAAUCUUUGCUCAAAGUUAAAUUCCCUUGUUGAAGAUGCAAGGUCAAAAUCCAAAGGUAAAUCUAAAGCACUUGGGUUGUGCUCCUUUGAUGUUUCUUUUAGUAGCGAGGAACUGCUAGAUGAAGUAAUAGCAGAUAUACUAGCUGAACUUUGCAAAGGCGAUGGUGUAUCGACUUUUGAGUUUAUUGGCAGUGGAGUUGUUCUGGCAUUGCUAGAUUAUUUUACUUGUGGAACAUUUGGAAGAGAAAAAAUCUCUGAAGCUAAUUUACCAAAGCUUCGACAGCAAGCACUGCAACGGUACAAGUUCUUUAUUGCAACGGCACUGCCUAUGGAACUUAAGGAAGGAAAUAGAACUCCCAUGAGUUUGUUGGUUCAGAAGCUUCAGAAUUCUUUAUCUUCUUUAGAACAUUUUCCAGUUGUAAUUAGUCAUUUGUCUAGAUCUAGUAGUGGAAGCGCACGCUUCUCAGGUCUAGGGUCCUUAUUUCAGCCGUUUAAGUUGCGUUUAUGUCGAGCACAAGGGGAAAAAUCUCUUCGUGAUUAUUCAUCGAAUGUGGUACUAAUUGAUCCUCUAGCAAGUCUAGCUGCAGUUGAAGAAUUCCUUUGGCCAAGAGUUCAGCGAAGUGACUCUGUACAGAAGUCUUCAACAUCAACAGGCAAUUCUGAUUCUGGAGCUGCUGUUGGAUCUGCUGCUCCGACACCACCAACUCCUGGACAUCGUCCUUCAACCAGGUCUAGGUCAUCAGUUACAAUUGGAGUUCCAGCUAAAAAAGAUGCUUCAGAUGGAAGUGCCAAUUCUUCUAAAGGGAAGGGUAAGGCUGUCCUGAAAUGUACUCCUGAUGAAUUAAGAGGACCUCAAACAAGAAAUGCUGCCCGUAGAAGAGCUGCAUCAGAUAAAGAGAUGGAAAUAAAACCUUCACAGAGUGAAUCUAGCUCUGAGGAUGAAGAUUUGGACAUGUCUCCGGUUGAGUUGGAUGACACUCUUAUGAUUGUGGAUGAUGAUGUCUCUGAUGAGGAAGAUGAUCAUGAGGUGUUUAGAGAUGACUCUCUUCCUGUUUGUGUACCAGAUAAGGUACAUGAUGUCAAAUUAGGAGAUUCUGCUGAUGAUGGUGCUGUUUCAUGUUCAGCAAGUGAUAACCAAGUGCAAACAACAUCUGGUUCCAGUGACAGGUCUGUCACAGACAAAGGGGCAGAAUAUACUGAACUCCAAAGGGAAAGUGCUUUUGGUUCCAGAGGUGCAAUGUCAUUUGCUGCUGCUGCCAUGGCAGGACUUGCUUCCAUUGGUGGCAGAGGUAUCAGAGUUGGUCGAGAUUAUCGUGGACUUGCCUCUUUUAGCACUAAAAGUAACCAUCAAAAUAAAUUGAUAUUCACAGCAGGAGGGAAGCAGCUUAGCAAGCACUUUACUGUAUAUCAAGCUUUUCAACGCCAACUUAUUCUCAAUGAAGAGGGUGAUGAAAAAUUUAAUGGCUCUGAUCUUCCCAGUGAUGGCAAUAGCUUAUGGGGUGAAAUAUUUACCAUAACAUAUCAGAAGGCUGAUGGGCAGGUUGACAAGGCUUCCCAAGGAAGUUCAAUUCUGUCAAAAUCUUCGAAACCUGCCUUCGCUUCCGAUUCUGUCGGUGACAAUAAGUGGCAAGAAAUUUCACUUCUUGACAGCAUCUUGCAAGGGGAGCUUCCCUGUGAUCUCGAACGAUCGAAUCCUACAUAUAAUAUAUUGGCAUUAUUGCGUGUGUUGGACAGUCUAAAUCAGCUAUCAACCCGUCUAAGGAUGCAGGCAGUAUCCGAUGAGUUUGCUGAGGGAAAAAUUUCAAACCUGGAUAAACUUUAUAGGAUUGGUCCAAAGGUUCUGCCAGAAGAGUUUGUGAAUGGCAAGUUGACUCCGAAGCUUGCUCGGCAAAUUCAGGAUGCUCUCGCAUUAUGUAGUGGUAGUCUUCCUCCAUGGUGUUAUCAGUUGACAAAAGCAUGUCCUUUUCUUUUUCCAUUUGAAACCAGGAGGCAAUAUUUCUACUCGACAGCUUUUGGUAUAUCUCGUGCAUUGCGCCGACUUCAGCAACAACAGAAUUCUGACAAUCAGAAUUCAGCUAGUGAAAGAGAGUUCCGUGUUGGCAGACUGCAAAGACAAAAGGUCCGUGUUUCUAGAAAUCGUAUCUUGGAUUCUGCUGUAAAAGUUAUGGAGAUGUAUUCUAGUCAAAAAGCUGUUCUUGAAGUUGAAUAUUUUGGUGAAGUCGGCACAGGAUUGGGUCCAACCUUAGAGUUCUAUACCCUUUUAAGUCAUGACUUGCAGAAGGUCAAAUUGGGUUUAUGGAGGUCCAACUCUGCAUCAGAAAGUUCUGCAAUGCAAAUUGAUGGGGAUGAAACAGAUGGUGGAAGGAGUGAUUAUGGUUCAGAAACAAAGAAACCAGGCACAGAGUUACCUGAUGGAAGAAUAGAUCUUAUUCAAGCCCCCCUUGGCUUAUUUCCGCGUCCUUGGCCCCCUAGUGCAGAUACCUCUGAUGGUAGCCAGUUUUCCAAAGUUAUUGAAUAUUUUCGUCUGGCUGGUCGGACAAUGGCAAAAGCUCUACAAGAUGGACGACUUCUGGACUUGCCACUUUCGACAGCAUUUUACAAACUUGUGAUGGGCCAAGAGCUUGAAUUACAUGAUAUACUCUUAUUCGAUGCCGAGUUUGGAAAGAUAUUGCAAGAGAUGCAAGCCCUUGUUGGCCACAAACAAUUUCUAGAGAGAAAUCCUGGUAACAAUCAAAUGGCAAUUGCAGAUUUACGUUUUCGUGGUGCCCCAAUUGAUGACCUCUGCUUAGAUUUCACUCUUCCUGGCUACCCUGAUUACAUUCUUAAAGGAGGAGGGGAAAAUAUCAUGGUUGAUAUCAACAAUUUGGAAGAGUAUGUUACUCUAGUUGUUGAUGCAACAAUUAAGACAGGAAUUAAGCAACAGAUGGAGGCAUUUAGAGCUGGGUUCAACCAGGUCUUUGACAUAUACUCUUUGCAAAUAUUUUCACCACAUGAACUUGACAACCUAAUCUGCGGACUUAGAGAACUGUGGGAGAUCCUGCAGCCCGAGACUCUGGUUGAUCAUAUAAAGUUUGAUCAUGGGUACACUGCCAAGAGUCCUGCAAUUACUUAUUUGCUUGAGAUAAUGGGAGAAUUCACACUAGAGCAGCAGCAUGCUUUUUGCCAGUUUGUGACUGGUGCUCCGAGGCUUCCACCUGGUGGUCUAGCUGCACUGAACCCAAAGUUGACCAUAGUUAGGAAGCACUCGACUCCGGCAAACGCUGCAAAUGAAAAUGGGGUGCCUGAAUCAGUUGAUGAUGACUUGCCUAGUGUGAUGACCUGUGCAAACUACCUUAAACUCCCUCCUUACUCGACCAAGGAAAUAAUGUACAAAAAACUCCUUUAUGCUAUCAGGGAAGGCCAGGGAUCAUUCGAUCUCUCAUAGGCUUCCUAGAUAUGCAGCAGCAUCAUGGUGGAGUCUGCUUGCUGCUCAUUUUGCCCAAUGUCAUGCCAGAUCUAUUUUCUGCCGUGGUCCCGAAAAAGCCAGUUCAAGAGGAGCGUGACAUUUGUGAUGGUGGGUCAUGGUGUCGGGACGGAGUAAAUGUGCUUUCUUGCAUGAUAGGCAACUUGAACGGUGACUCGAACGGCGUCGAGUUAGAGCUGCGGGUCCACGCAUGUAUGGUUGGAAUGUCGAUCGGAUCAGUUGGAGAUUUGAGGUAGAGAACAUUUUAUUUGACAUGAUGUCAAAACCUUGGUGGACAAGGAUGCUAGCGGGGGUCGUUAGCGCCGAUAUCUCUUAGCAGUGGUACAAAACCUUAGUGGCACUCU
Molecule: RNA transcript, 6344 nt
Organism: Musa acuminata AAA Group (dessert banana)
Lineage: Eukaryota; Viridiplantae; Streptophyta; Magnoliopsida; Zingiberales; Musaceae
Gene name: E3 ubiquitin-protein ligase UPL3
Exons: 18
Source: RefSeq, a predicted model, not a curated record